GCCGGGCGUGGCAGCGCACGCCUGUAGUCCCAGCUACUCGGGAGGCUGAGGCAGGAGAAUUGCUUGAACCCAGGAAGUAGAGGCUGCAGUGAGCCAAGACACGCCACUGCAUUCUAGUCUGGGUGACAGAGUGAGACUCCGUCUCAA
This 147-nucleotide small RNA is filed under the name Macaca fascicularis (crab-eating macaque). RNAcentral's name for it is "Metazoan signal recognition particle RNA (ENSMFAG00000059953.1)". The record is from Rfam by way of RNAcentral. Lineage: Eukaryota; Metazoa; Chordata; Mammalia; Primates; Cercopithecidae.